This 272-nucleotide long non-coding RNA is filed under the name Capsicum annuum. Its description in RNAcentral is "long non-coding RNA (CANN_LNC018982)". Lineage: Eukaryota; Viridiplantae; Streptophyta; Magnoliopsida; Solanales; Solanaceae. The record is from RNAcentral.
AUCACUCAGGGAAGUCUUAGAGAUCUAAUCUUUAUGUCCUUUCUUCUCGCCCAAUGUCUCUGUGGUUCAGCUCACCGCGAACCAGAAUUUUGGUUCAACGAUUGUGGUAUCUCCAUUCAUGCAUCGCUUCUAUGUUCGUCAUCAUCGUCGUGGAACUAUUGUGGUAUCUCCAACGAUUGUGGUAUCUCCAUUGUUGUUGCUGUUGUUGUUGUUGUUGUUGUCGAUAUUGUUGUUGUUGUUGUUGUUGUUGUUGUUUUUUACUGGAUAUUGGC